CCUACGGGUGGCUGCAGUGGGGAAUAUUGGACAAUGGGGGGAACCCUGAUCCAGCCAUGCCGCGUGUGUGAAGAAGGCCCUCGGGUUGUAAAGCACUUUCAGUGAGGAAGAACGCCUGGUGGUUAAUACCCAUCAGGAAAGACAUCACUCACAGAAGAAGCACCGGCUAACUCCGUGCCAGCAGCCGCGGUAAUACGGAGGGUGCGAGCGUUAAUCGGAAUUACUGGGCGUAAAGCGCGCGUAGGUGGCUUGAUAAGCCGGUUGUGAAAGCCCCGGGCUCAACCUGGGAACGGCAUCCGGAACUGUCAAGCUAGAGUGCAGGAGAGGAAGGUAGAAUUCCAGGUGUAGAGGUGAAAUGCGUAGAGAUCGGGAGGAAUACCAGUGGCGAAGGCGGCCUUCUGGACUGACACUGACACUGAGGUGCGAAAGCGUGGGUAGCAAACAGGAUUAGAUACCCUAGUAGUC
This 465-nucleotide ribosomal RNA is filed under the name Vreelandella stevensii. RNAcentral's name for it is "partial 16S ribosomal RNA". It matches the Rfam family "Bacterial small subunit ribosomal RNA", at positions 338 to 795 of the family's 1533-position model. Lineage: Bacteria; Pseudomonadati; Pseudomonadota; Gammaproteobacteria; Oceanospirillales; Halomonadaceae. The record is from RNAcentral.